RNAcentral lists this long non-coding RNA (7112 nucleotides) under Lactuca sativa (garden lettuce). Its description in RNAcentral is "long non-coding RNA (LSAT_LNC009837)". The record is from RNAcentral. Lineage: Eukaryota; Viridiplantae; Streptophyta; Magnoliopsida; Asterales; Asteraceae.
AAGGACCCCUAGGGCACCAAAAACGUGGCCAAAUAACUCCUUAGGGUUUCUACACAUUUUUGGGUGCCUCCUCUCUUCUCAUUCUUCAUCCUCUUGCUCUUGGUGUUUGUGAGCCAUUAGAGGAGUGACACUUGUGACUCUAAGCUUUCUAAAGCCAAUUACAAGGAGGAUUUGAGAUUGUUAUUACUACAUAACAAUCAAGGUAUGAUCUAAACCCUAAUUCAUAUGUUAAUAUCAUUAUUGUAUGCUAGAUCUAGGGUUUAAAGUCUUGGAUGAAUGCAUGUACAAUAGAGAAACCUAGAUCCAAGCAUUAGGGUUUGCAUGAGCACAUAGGAUGUUCUUAUGGCUAAAACCCAUCAGUGGUAUCAGAGCCUUGAUUGGUUUCUAUUGUAUUGAUGCNNNNNNNNNNNNNNNNNNNNNNNNNNNNNNNNNNNNNNNNNNNNNNNNNNNNNNNNNNNNNNNNNNNNNNNNNNNNNNNNNNNNNNNNNNNNNNNNNNNNNNNNNNNNNNGGAUUUUUGCCUAUUUUGACUUAGGAUAAUUGUCAUAAUUGUUUAAAAUUAAUAAAAUACGAAUUUUAUUGAUUCCUUAUGAUUAUCUUUGUCAAAAUAAAAGAUUUUGGUCAUCUAAUUAGAUAAUUGUUACCUUAUUUGAUAAAUGUUAAAUUAUUUGAAUUAUUUGACAUUAUCUUACAUGAAAGUAAAUUAGGUCAUAAUUAGAUAAUCACCAAUUAAUUGUUUAAUUGGCUUAUUUGUAUUUUGAUCUAAUAGUUUUGAAAGGUUUCAAAACUUGCCCUCAAGUUUUGGAAUUUAAAUUUUUGAUUAAAAAGUUUAAUUUUGAAAUAUUUAAAUUCUAAACUCUAAUGAUUUGAAAUGUUUCAAAACUUGCCCUAAACUUUUGGAAUUUAAAUUUUAAUUAAAAGUUUAAUUUUAAAAUGUUGAAUUCUAAGACCUUAAGUUUUGAAAAAGUUCAAAUUGCACCCUAUGGUUUUAUUAAAUUAAUUAAGUGUAUAAUUAAAAGAGAGUUAAUAAAUCCAUAGUGAUAUGGUUCACAUUUAAUUAAAUUAAAAGUAUAAUUUAUUAAAUUAGACCACCUAGUAUUUUCAAAGUGUAAAAUACACCCUUAGACUAUAUAUAACAUUAAAAGUCUAAUAUUAUAUAUGUAUAACUUAAACUGCUAGUCUUACCGUUAGUAGGCCUCAUUCACGAAGCCAAUCUAUAAGGGGGGUAUAAGGUUAUGGCCUAUAAAAUGGCCGUUUAAUGGGUGUCCAUUCUCACCCACCGCUUCUUUGAUUGGUGGAGGGUCGUUAGCCGAACGGGUAGGAUAGGGCAAAACUUUUCCAUUAAAAGUAUAAUGAAGUAUAAAGUAACUAAAUGUUUUAUACAAAAUUCCCAAUCUUAGUUACUUUAGAAAAAAGUGAAUUUGAUGCAAUUCCAUGAAAUUACACUUUGUACCCUUGCGAAGACGUUAGUGGAGCGUGUGUGGUUAACCGGCACACUAAAUGGUUCUAAACAAAGGUUGCAAAGGGUGACUCAAUGUUUUUCAUAGUUUGGUGGAGCGUGUGUGGUUAACCGGCACAUCGAAUAGGUGACUGUAACAUUGGGGGAACCAUGUAAGUUUUCAUGCUUAUUCACACCCAGUUUUGUGAUCCUCGGCAUCCCAGUCACAAAUCGAGGGACAUAUCUAGAUUUAAACAUGCCAUUGAAAAGUUCAAUGAAUCUCAAAGGAUCUAGGAGUUUUCAAUACAUUUAAAACUUAAUCUCCUUUUCGUUUUUUAUGGUGGAAAAUUAGUGAAUCGUCAUUCACUUACCUUCAAAUGUUCUGCAAUUUGGGAUACAACAUCCCUCUCCCAAGUUGUAGAAUAUUGUGUUGGGUCCUAGCCUUAAUAUCUCAUUUGGGUGAUUUAUUAAGGACUCAAUCAAUCAACUAACUUGAAUUUUCUCCUGUUUUGUAGAUGUCAAAGUAUGACAACUAUGGUCUUCCCAAUUCCCGUGGAACAAGUUUUCCACAUGAAGAUGAUAUUCCACGAUUCGAUGAGGAACACGAGAUCAUGCUUCACUUCUUCCACCCCCUCCUAUUGUUCUCCCUAACCCACAAGUUCAAAGGCUUGAAAAGUUCAAACUCACUCAAGCCCUUUUGGCAAGUGAACAUGAAGAAGGAAAGUCAGUGUGUGCACACGUCCUAGAGUUGAAGUCACACAUUGAUAGGUUAAGAAUGUUGGGAUCUGUUGUAUGUGAGGAGCUGGCUGUUGACUGGGUUCUUCGGUCGCUUCCUGAAUCAUAUAGUGAGUUCGUAAGAGAGUACUAUAUGAUGAACCACGACGUGACCCUCAUCGAUCUCACUUAUAUGCUUAUUGCUGCUGAAUCAACAAUGAUUUGGCGCACUGCAAAAGCAAAGUUGAUUGGUGGAUCUGCCUUCCAGACCUCUAUGGAUAUAGACAAUGGCAACGAAAGGCAUGCCAUGGUCGAAAAGUUUGAUCAUAAGAGAAAGGCAAAGUCUGAAGUAGUUCCGUGUGCUGUUCCAAAAAAGUCAAUUUGCUUUUAUUGCCAAGAGAAAAGGCAUUGGAGACGAAGCUGCCAAAUCUACCUAAGAGAUCUAAGAGAUGGGAGAGUCAAAACGUUUGGCUCUACUUCAGGUAAAAUCCACUAUGUAACUCCGUUAAGUUCCUAUUCAUUGAUACUUAAUACAUAAUAUGAUAAGAUUGCAUUUGAUUGUUUUUCAGGAUCAGAGAAAAGAGAGGAAGCUUGAUGGAAGAACAAGAUGAGUCUGCUCAUGAAGAAAAGGAUCACGAUCGCAUGGAUUCGAAGAUCAGAUUUUGAGCUUAGAAAGUUAUGAUAGAGUUGUUAGGAAUAUUUGAUUACAUAGUUUUUCAAGUUGAUUGGGCAUUGUAAGGAGAUGUUUUCCCCUGCUUUUAUGAAUAAAAUAAAAUUUUGAUUUACUUUAUUUAUGUAUAUCCUUGCAAUGAAAUCGUUGUGAAAAAUUGAUGUUUGUGUAUUUCUAUAAAUGGAUGUGAUUCCUAGUUAUGUUAUUUAUGGUAGUGUCAAAAUUUUCUAAGUAAGGAAAGAUUCUCAUAGCCCAAGUUUCAAUUGGAUAGAAACUUGGAAUCAUAUGAUUUGAAUCAUGUGAUGUAUGGAAAUCUUGGGACUUAGGAAAUUAAGACUAAUUCCUUGAUCACACAAGUAUGUGAGUCAAGUAAAGGACUAAAAGAAUAGAACACAAUGUUGUACACUAAUCAAGUCCACCACAAAUAACAAUGAGACUAUUCGUCAUGAUUUACCAAAAGGUCUAGUAAAUGUGGUUAUACUUACAAGAUUAAGUGUAAUUCUGAAUCAUUGAAAGGUUUCUUCAAUCUAAGAAGAAUCAAUGAAGGCAGAAAGAUAAAAGUUUCUCCAAUCUAAGAAGAAGGGAGAGUACUUUUGUAUCGGAUUUUAUGAUCGUCUUAAUGAUUAAGAACUAUAUCACAAUUGAUUCUCUAAGGACACCUUAGUGCACUAGUAUGGCUAAGAAGAGGAAUCGGAAAUUGUUGAAAUGGUUAAAUUAAAAGGACGAGUCACACUUCGUUCCAAAAUCAAGUCUUAGAUAUUCCAAGAUUGUGAAUUGAGUGACACACACUCAUCAAAUGUGAAGUAGAAAAUUGUUUUUCUUUAUAUUGCACGUUUGAAAUUCGUAAGUUGUGAUGUCUUGUAGAAGACAAGGACCAACUAAGACCAAAUGUGUGCAAUGUUGUGUCUUGAUAUAGACGCACAAUAACUCUUGGAUAUUUGUUUAUCAAGAAAUGUUUCUUGAUAAGAGAAUCUAAUAUGUCAAUAGGUCAGUGGGAGUCUGAAGAUCUUGAAAAGAUUCAAGAACUAAUCAAAAGUAAACCUAUUAAACACCAGCACACGACUUGAGGUUUGUAACCUAUCGUGUUUUAUUUUUUGUGCCAAUCCUUCUGAAUGAUUCUGCAUAUGAGUUCUAUGAGUUCUCAUUAGAUCGCAUAAGGCAAGCACCUUAUUCAAUGAAAGUACAUUGACUGGAAUAGGUGAGCUACUUGAUAACUUGGAAGCAAUGGUGGGACCCAUGAUGGCAAGAAAUUAAGAAUGAACAAAGUUCUAUCCAUAAGAGUUUGAAUUUGUCACAAACAUUAUCUUUCGAUUAUGGUUUUGGAAAAUUCACAUGGAUAGAAACACAUACACCAUAAAAUCUAAGUGUCAUAAGGUUUCUCUCCUUCAUGAAAAUGAUUGUGAGGAAACGCUUUCACUAAGAGAGAUUUUAAGGAGACAACGAUUAUGUAAAUUGCAUUCCAAAUUCGAUUAUGAUUACGGCAUCCCUUUUCAUAGUUCGAAUUGUAAGAUUUGGCAAUUAGUCUGAACAUUUGGGACUUAGUAAAAUAAGUUCUGAAUUAGUUUGAACACACAUGUGAGCUGUCUAAGGAAAGGUGUGUGAUUUUGAGAAGCUUAGAUAAAGGCUAAUCGAAGCAUAACCAAUGAACUUUGGAAAUCAAUAAGUACUGUUUUUUAGAAGUUAAGCUAGUUUCUAAAUAAGUGUCAAAGUUAGUGGGAGCAUAAAUGUUAUGCUGGAAUGGAUAUAAUCAUCAUGUUAGUGGGAGCAUGAUUAUUAUUUAGUAUUGCAAGUUGGCAAUAUUAAUUAUAGAAAAACAAAAGUUUCACCUUGCAAAGUUGCAGGGGUUGAAAAGUUGUUUUUACUAUAAUUAAGGGAGAGAAUGUUAUACUUUGUUAAUAAUCUAAAAGCUUAGAUCGAGAAAUUUUAAUUGAAUUUAGUCAAGGAUAUAUUUAUUAUUUGCAUUCUCAAAGUUCUAUUAUGAUUACGGCAUCCCUCUUCGUAGUUCGAAUUUUGAGAACACGGCAAAUAGAAAUAUAAUGACGAUAUUAUAGUAAGAAACUGGUAAAAUAUCACGUUUUUCAUUAUGAAUUAUAUCCCAUACGCUUCGGGUAUAGGAUCAAUUGCAUAUGCUAUAAUAUUCGACCGUUCUAAAAUUUUACAAAUGCCUAGGGCAUUUAGAAGGAAAAAGGAAAUAGAACCGGUUUUUGACUAAAAUAAUUAAACAACUACCAAGGACAAUCUAAGGUUCGCCAAGGAUUUGUCGCAAGUAUAGUAAUGAAUGGACCAUAUUGACAUUAUUAUGAAUAGAUACGAUUCUAUGUAGAAUGAGUUGUCAUUUGGAAAAUAUGGAAAUGUUUCCAUAUUGGGAGUUAGAUAUCGAGAAUCAAUAUCUAGAUUAGAAACUUUUAUGCAAGAAGGAUGUUCAAAGGAAUGUACUUUGAAUACGAGACUUCGUGACUAUGGAAUUGUCUUGUAACAAUCUCCAAUAGAGUAUUUUGUAAUUUCAUUGGUCGAGUCUUGGUGACUUUUUUGUCAUGACAUUACGAAAAGGACUGUUGCAUAAAAUGUUAGAAUCUAACAUAUUCUAGUAGUGGCAAGAAUUUUGUAUUCUUACACUAAUGGAUUAGGAAUUGUGAAAUAAGUGUGAUUGAAAAUGUUAUUCAAUUAUACUAUUUCACAAAGUAAGGACCAUAGGUAAACAUAGUGUGCAUGCUGAGAGCAUGGGACAAUUGUUGUUAUAACUCAAGUAAGAAGUUGAUUACCCAAAACAACAAAUAAUGAGUAAUCAAUAUGGUGAUUAAAUAAAAUGUGUUUUAUUUAUAUUGGGGCCAUAUAGGAUUAGUAUUAUUCUUGUGUUUCACUUUGCAUGUUUUGACUUCCUGAAUAAUAAGAUUUUUCAAACUCUCNCUCCACAGUCGCUCAUUCUUUGGAAGUAGGAAUGAAAGAAGAUUGUCAUGAAUCUGACUGUAGAUUGUCUAAAGUGUUUUAGACAUAGCAAAAGUUUGAUGCAGGGUUCAUGAGUGCUGCUAUAGGAAUAGAGUAUUGGAAUAAACCCACACUUACUUGGAUCGCUUCAUGGAUUUUAUCACGAGGGAUUGGUGAGACGAUAAUAUCUUAUAUUCUUGAAACUGAGAUGUGUGAGUUGUAUCUUACGAGUCGGUUACACAUUGAUAAUAUGUAAACGCACCAGUAACUUGGUGUUAUAAAACAUAUUGUUGUGUGUGAUUCGGUGAGUGAGUGCAAGCAAGUAUUGAAUCAAAGUUUAUCCGUUCCUUUUAUUCAAAGUAGGAUAAAAGCGAUAUCUUUCGGCCCCUCGAUGAUUUACUGAUGACACCCAAAGCAUUUGGGCAAGCCGGGACUAAUUUGAUGUGUUCAAUUGUAGUCUGUUGUCAGUCGUCGUAAAUCGGAAAACGGGAAACAACACAUAGAUGAGAGAAUGAUUUAAAUCCAUGUUUCAGUCUAUACGAUAUCUAGAAUGGAGGAAUAUAUUCCCUUAUCUAAAGGACAUGUGUAUCUGAUAAGAUUAGACUUGACAGCGGCUUUGGAAAGCUACGAUUGCAGAUCAGGAUCGGAAGUCAUACGCAGAAUAGUUAUUAGACUUAUCCAAGUGGGAGACUGUUGGAUUAGUGUCUAAGUCCAUAACUAUUUUGGUAUGUACUUGACCCGAUGGUGCAUGGUCCUUUUGGGUUGCCUUCACCAAAGCAACUUGAUAGGAUGAAUUAUGGAGAUAGAGGAUUAAUUAUGAUUUAUUAAUAUAUUAUGAGAAUAAUAUAUUAAAGGAGAAAUCAUAUUGUUUAAUUAAUAUUAGUCAAGAAUUAAUAAGAAUUAAUUUAGUGGCUAAAGGACAUUAAUUAAAUAAAGGGGACUAGAACUGUCAAUUGUGUGAUAGUUGAAUAUUGGGCUAAUGGAAUCCAUAGAGGAUGGAGUGGACGAAUUCUAUGGGGAAACCCAUUAGAAAUCGUCCAAGGCCUCUAAGGAGGGAGUCCAUGGGUUGCUUAGGGCCUAAGUAGUCAAAUUAGGGUUUCCUUGUUAGAUAACCCUAAUAGCCUCACUAUUUAAGGACCCCUAGGGCACUAAAAAUGUGGCCAAAUAACUCCUUAGGGUUUCUACACUUUUUGGGUGCCUCCUCUCUUCUCAUUCUUCAUCCUCUUGCUCUUGGUGUUUGUGAACCAUUAGAGGAGUGACACUUGUGACUCUAAGCUUUCUAAAGCCAAUUACAAGGAGGAUUUGAGAUUGUUAUUACUACAUAACAAUCAAGGUAUGAUCUAAACCCUAGUUCAUAUAUUAAUAUC